This 493-nucleotide ribosomal RNA is filed under the name uncultured bacterium. RNAcentral's name for it is "bacterial SSU rRNA". It matches the Rfam family "Bacterial small subunit ribosomal RNA", at positions 903 to 1397 of the family's 1533-position model. The record is from RNAcentral.
AAAUGAAUUGACGGGGGCCCGCACAAGCAGCGGAGCAUGUGGUUUAAUUCGAAGCAACGCGAAGAACCUUACCAAGGCUUGACAUCCCCUGACAACCCUGGAAACAGGGCUUCCCUUCGGGGCAGGGAGACAGGUGGUGCAUGGUUGUCGUCAGCUCGUGUCGUGAGAUGUUGGGUUAAGUCCCGCAACGAGCGCAACCCUUACAUUUAGUUACCAGCGGGUGAUGCCGGGGACUCUAGAUGGACUGCCGGGGACAACUCGGAGGAAGGUGGGGACGACGUCAAAUCAUCAUGCCCCUUACGUCUUGGGCUACACACGUGCUACAAUGGCCGUAACAAAGGGAAGCGAGAUCGUAAGAUGGAGCGAAACCCAGAAAAGCGGUCCCAGUUCGGAUUGUGGGCUGCAACCCGCCCACAUGAAGUCGGAGUUGCUAGUAAUCGCGAAUCAGCAUGUCGCGGUGAAUGCGUUCCCGGGCCUUGUACACACCGCCCGU